GAUGAACGCUAGCGGCAGGCUUAACACAUGCAAGUCGAGGGGCAGCACGGGUAGCAAUACCUGGUGGCGACCGGCGCAAGGGUGCGUAACGCGUGAGCAACAUGCCCUAUACAGGGGGAUAAUCCAGGGAAACUUGGUCUAAUAUCCCAUAGUAUUUAGAGGAGGCAUCUUCUAUAAAUUAAAGCUUCGGUGGUAUAGGAUUGGCUCGCGUGACAUUAGCUAGAUGGUGAGGUAACGGCUCACCAUGGCAAUGAUGUCUAGGGGUUCUGAGAGGAAGGCCCCCCACACUGGGACUGAGACACGGCCCAGACUCCUACGGGAGGCAGCAGUAAGGAAUAUUGGGCAAUGGAGGCAACUCUGACCCAGCCAUGCCGCGUGCAGGAAGACGGCCCUACGGGUUGUAAACUGCUUUUAAUAGGGAGUAAGGUUAGUUACGUGUAACUAAUUGCAAGUACCUAUAGAAUAAGGAUCGGCUAACUCCGUGCCAGCAGCCGAC
This 496-nucleotide ribosomal RNA is filed under the name uncultured bacterium. RNAcentral's name for it is "bacterial SSU rRNA". It matches the Rfam family "Bacterial small subunit ribosomal RNA", at positions 28 to 518 of the family's 1533-position model. The record is from RNAcentral.